Molecule: transfer RNA, 66 nt
Filed under: Dipodomys ordii (Ord's kangaroo rat)
Lineage: Eukaryota; Metazoa; Chordata; Mammalia; Rodentia; Heteromyidae
Rfam family: tRNA
About the family: Transfer RNA (tRNA) molecules are approximately 80 nucleotides in length. Their secondary structure includes four short double-helical elements and three loops (D, anti-codon, and T loops). Further hydrogen bonds mediate the characteristic L-shaped molecular structure. tRNAs have two regions of fundamental functional importance: the anti-codon, which is responsible for specific mRNA codon recognition, and the 3' end, to which the tRNAs corresponding amino acid is attached (by aminoacyl-tRNA synthetases). tRNAs cope with the degeneracy of the genetic code in two manners: having more than one tRNA (with a specific anti-codon) for a particular amino acid; and 'wobble' base-pairing, i.e. permitting non-standard base-pairing at the 3rd anti-codon position.
Source: Rfam by way of RNAcentral
AAUGUGACUCAGUGGUAUAGAGUGCUUGCCUAGCAUGCAUGAGGCCUGGGUUCUAUUCCUAAUAUU